CAUGCAUUUGUAUGUGAGUGCCAGUGCGGGUCAUCGCAGCUUGCACCCAUUUCCAGUCUUCAUCUAACACACGGAAGAAAAAACACUGAUUUGACAACCACCCAUAGAUGAGAGUACUUUUUGGGAGGCCAGGAGUCCAGUGGUAAGGUCCCAGCAUACCACUGGAGCAAAACAUCUGAGAAUACACACGUUUAAGAAGGUCUUCAGAUUGAGAGGAGCAGAACAUGAGGUACUGAACUCAAGAGGUCUCACCUGCACUUGGACCUGAUUUACAUGACAAGUUUCUGGCCUGAUUCAGUAACAUGAUACAAUCUUAUGUGGGGUAUUUGGAGGUGGAACAUGUAUUUUUCAUGGGGAAGAAUGUAAAUAAUCCAUGGAAUAAAAAUUGUGACAUUUUAAAA
This is a long non-coding RNA of Symphalangus syndactylus (siamang), 401 nucleotides long. RefSeq lists it as uncharacterized. Lineage: Eukaryota; Metazoa; Chordata; Mammalia; Primates; Hylobatidae. The record is from RefSeq and is a predicted model, not a curated record.